This 29153-nucleotide long non-coding RNA is filed under the name Malus domestica (apple). RNAcentral describes it as "long non-coding RNA (MDOM_LNC001255)". Lineage: Eukaryota; Viridiplantae; Streptophyta; Magnoliopsida; Rosales; Rosaceae. The record is from RNAcentral.
GCAGCAUACCAAGGGCAAAUUAUACUCAAUUCUUCUUAAGAAAUUCAAUGGCAUAGGUGUUGAAGGCAGAGCACACGACUCGAAAGCCUUGGAAUCCAGAUCCCUUAGCCAAGGCCUCGAACUCCUUCUCCGUCCUCUCUUUUCCGCCGGGGUUGUGAGCUAACAUGAUCUCGUCGAUAUGGACAACUCCCUGGUGGCAAGGCUGCUGUCCGGAGCUACUGGAAGAAUGCACUCAGCAACAAUUACCUUCCCAUUGUCAGGGAGCGCAGCAUAGCAGUUCUUCAAAAAUUUCAAGCAAUGCUCGUCACUCCAGUCGUGGCAUAUCCACUGUAAGAUUGCAUACAGGAUUUGAUAUUAGUUCCAAUUAUAUUGAGCAACUAAGCUCCUAUGAGAAAUUAAUAUUAGCACUACAAAAUAAUCAUCGGCUCUUUUUUGAUAAAUAAUAACUCACCUUCAUGAAAAUUGCAUCUCCCUUUGGAACACUUACAAACAUGUCUCCUCCAACAUGCUCCACACCUAUAUUCAACAUCCACUGACCUCAUAUUCGUUAGGAAAAAUGAUAAAUAGUACAAAUAUUAUUUUUAUAUACAAUAACAUUAGGGGAAGAGAAAUUGAACUUGAGAGAUCGAAUGUAAAGGUGAACGCUUUUAAGUAAUUGAACUACAAACAUUAUCAGAAAUGAAGAACAUACCAGGAUAUUGAGGAGCAUCUUCGAUGACAUGAGGCAAGUCGAAAUUAAUGCCCUUAAUCGAAGGGUAUUUAGAGACGAUCAUGUUAAGGAUAGCGCCAGUGCCACCACCAACAUCAACGAUGCAUGUGAGGCCCUCAAAGCCAUUGUAGUUUCUUCAAGAAGUUUCUUCAUGAGAGAGAGAUCGAAUGUAGUUCUCAAGUAGUUCUCAAGAAGUUUCACAUGAGUGAGGUCGAUAAGAUAAACAGCUUGACUUUUAUAUACAUUCAACUAAGCUAACAUGUAGAAUUAGUAUGUAAAGACAUUGCACAAUUAGUAGAAAGAAACUGAAUGUUCUUGAUCACAAAGACAUGGUCGGCAAAAAAGUUAUGUUUCCAUAAGAAACAGAAGCAACAUGUAGUUCACACAAAUUUUUUCCAUUAUAGUUAGCUUUUGAAAAAACUGCUACACCGUUUUACAAAUUCAAUCGUUAAACAUGAUAUUGUAUUCCAAGACAAAGAUAAAGUAUAUGGUUUGUUUACAAAUCAAAGCUAGAAACCCCAAAGCUUUUUGCAUAUUCAUCAUCUCUCUGAUCAUGAAAAAUUAAAAUUAAUAAUAAUCACUCAAAUCAUAUUACAAUAUAUAACAAACUAUGUCAUCUGAUAAUCGAUAAAUUUUAAGAAAAUUUAAAAUGAAAACCAUAAUCUGAAAUGUCUGAAUUUUCUCAAACACUUUCUGAGAAGCCAAACCAAAACAAAAAACAAAAACAAAAACAAAAGGAGAUGAAUGAGAAAUGAGAAACGAGUAAUUACCAUGUCUGGAUUUGGAUGAGGCGGGAAGAGAAGGCCAUGAUCGGUUCACAGUCUUCCUCUUCUUCUUGUAAUUUAUGUUCCUCUUUCAAAUUUCAAAAACAAAAAAUCCACCCAUACUUAAUUCCCAUAAAAAAAAAAUUAAAAAAAAAUAAAAAAACUAGUAUAAAAAUUUCAUGGCACCUAUAAAAAUUCACCGUCACUAGUAUAAAAACCACCCAUACUCCAUUCCAUUUCUUCCCAAAACCCAGGGAUUCGGUGCCAGAACUGCAUCUUCUCAGUUGUUGCAUAUCUUCUUGCUAAUGUGUCAUUGACUUCGCACGCCUAGAAACCAAGCCAUCACAAUGCAAACGCGAGUAUCUCUGAUUAGCAUCGAAGGGGGUUGGCUUGGAAACUAAGAGCUGAGUAUCAUUCAAGGGAUUAUUCUGUAGCGUUGUGCCUACUCCGGAUGAUGCCAAAGUGGCCCCUUGAAGAGGUAAUGAAGGUAGUCAUCUAUCUAGCCUUUGGAAAGGUGCACUAUAUUGCAUGAACAUGAGGAAAUGCGAACAAAUAAGAAUUAUAAAAACUAAAGUGAAUCAAACCCAUGGAUCUUAUUGGGAUUACCUUCAUAAAAGCUAAGCAUUUUGGAAAAAACAUUUUCAAUUAAAAAUAACUUUGAAAAUGUCUUUCUAUUCAAGUAUGUUGGCCCAAAAUUGAAAGUGAUAGAUGCUUUCGAACAGUUUAGUUUGUAACCAUCAUUAACAUUACAAUUUUUUAGAAGUAAUGUAGACGAAUAUAUUUAGUUGCAUCAGGCUCCUUAGUUUCCAAUUGACAUGCCAAUUUAUGAUCCAUUGCUCUUUCUUUUUUAGACAAUAAAUCGAAAACAUUGAUAUAACCAAAUGCAUUCGAUAAUAGAAAACUACGUAAAUUUCCUAAGAGAGUUCUUGAACGGAAGAACUGACAAAGUAUUGAGUUGAUGAUGGCUUUUAUACCUACCCCAAUGAAUAGCUGCUGGAAGAAGUAUCUCAGGAAUAAGCAAUGCCUAUAAUGGAUUGCUCGAAAGCGCAUAUUCUUUGAAUUCCUCACCGCAAGGACAACAGCAAAGAGCACCGAUCUCUGCAUUUCCACCAAUAUAUACAAAAGAGUCAACAUUUGAGUUUAUAUUUUACUUAAAAUAUGAUUUUAGCCCUUCCAACUCAAUUUUCUUCAUAUAAAACCCUACAUAACUUUUUUACUCAAAGAAAACCCAAUGACUAGGAUCCACAUAAGCAAAUUCAUUAAUUUCAAUAUUACUUCACACAUUUUACAUUUUUCACAUGCCUAAAAUACCCCUAUUACAUAUUUGAUGUAGACAAUUAAUUGUAAGGAGAGAGUAAAUGAUUUUGCAACAAGAAAAACAAGACAUUAAUGUUAAAAAUUUAUUGCAUAUUAAUUUUUUUAGAAAGGCUUUGAAUUUUCAUAAACUAUUUGAUUAGUUUUUUUCACGCUACUCUUGAACACUUUUGAAUUUAUCCUUUUUUUAUUAAUAUAUUAGAACAUUGUAUUUCAUUAUCUACAUGCACAUUAAUUUACCUACAACAAUUAUACCAUGAGUGUAAUAUAAUAUCUCUUUUUUACAAUGAUGCAAAAUAAUGUUUAUACCAACAACAAAACGUGCCUAACAUAUGUACUAAUACAUGGAAAAUAAUUUACCUAUAUUAAGAAGAAAUGUAGUUCGAUGCGUAGUAUUAAAAAUACUAUGUUACACCCAUGUUUAUACAACAAUAAAACGUGCCUAACAUAUCUAACAAUACAUGGAAAAUAAUUUAUCUACAAGUUAGAUAAAUGUUAUUUGGUCGGGUGUAUAUAAAUUGUUUUAAUAAUUGGAAAAAUUAAAUAUAACUAGGUGUAGUGAAAUUUUUUUCUAUAAUUAGAACAAAUUAAUUUACCUACCUACUAUUUGAAAUGUUCAUUUCUAAUGAUGCAAAAUGUUCAUUACCUAACUACAAAAUAAUUUCCAAUAAUUUACCCACAACAAUUAUACCAUGGGUGUAAUGUAAUAUCUUUCUUUACAAUGAUACAAAAUAUUGUAUGUAUACCAACAACAAAAUGUGCCUAACAUAAGUACUUGUACAUGGAAAAUAAUUUACCUAUAACAAAAGAAAUGCAGUUUGAUGUAUAAAAUCAACAAUAAAUUUACCUACAAGUUAGAGGAAUGUUAUUUGAUUCAAAAUAUAUAAUAUAGGUGUAGUAUUUUUUUUUAAAUAAUUGGAACACACUAAUUUACCUACCAAUUAAUAUGGGUAAAAUUGCUACAAAAUAUAUCACGAAAAAAAAAACUACUUUUCUAGUUUGACAUGGAUACGGUUAAUGCAAACACUUUUUACAUUUUAUUUCACUUUUUCUACUACUUUUAUUUUGGCAUAAAUUUAGGAAUUUGGAAAACGGACCAUAAAGUAUGAGUGGCAUGAGUGUAAAUAAAUUGUAUUUAUAGGUCAAUAGUGUUCCCAUAUAUUUGCAAAUUUUAAAUUUUGGCUUAAACUGGAUCUUUAAAGAUAGAUGAGUUUUUAUCUAGAAAUAAUAAGUUGUAAGGGCCAAAAUCUAAAGCACCCUAUUUUUUUUUCAUAUUCUGUUUCUUCAUUUUCUUCUAUAUCACUUUCUAUACUCAUAUAUAUACUCAUAGUUUAGUUUAUAUUGGACAGGACCGAUCAUCAUAUGCUCAUAUAUAUGCGUUUGUUUAAUCAAUAAUGCUAUUUAAAGGUACAAAACUAAUCGCAUUUCUGAGACACUCGAAAAUAGCGGUGGACUCUACAAAUACACGCAAAACAUACAUGUGCUAAAGAAUCUAUAACAAUGCGAUUAAUUUUGGGAGUCUAUAUAGUAUUACUUGUUAUUUAUUUAUUGCCUAUCUGAUUAUGGCUUCUCAUGGCAGGUAGGAAUGCUUCUGUAAUUUGGUUGAUUUAAUUUCUUGAUCAUAAUACCAAUUUGAAUGAACAUCAUGGAUAAUAAUUUGACAGCUACGUCAUGAAAAUAAUAUGAAUGUCAUUUUAUCAUUUCCUUUUUGCCAUUUCUCUGAUUUAGGAGAGUUCUUGUGUUGUGUAUAAGCGAUAUGUCGAAAUCUAUUGACGGGUAAGUUCGAGUGAUAAGAAAAUCCAUGAGGUCCGAUUUUGUGUUUGUGGCAAUACAGACAUGUAAUUUGUCCGUUGUACACUAGAUUCUUUCAUUUUUUAGACCCUAUUGCAUGGGUAUGAUUCCAAAUUUAUAACAUACAAGCAUGUUAGAAUAGAAUUAAUUAAUCCAGAAUUUUAUUCAUAGUUGUCACAUGUAUUAUAGGAAUGUAAUAUUUAAUUGUAAUUAGUGUAGGAUCCUAUUUCAAUAGGGACUAAUGUAACCUUGUAUAUUUAUUGUAAUAUUUUUCACACAACAAUACAAAGAGUCAUAAUUCUACAUGUUAUCAAAGCAACAAAAUCACUUUCUUAUUAUUUUUUUGUAACAUAUGAAAACCUACUUAUCGUGUAACAUCCACGUAUGGAUACACGAUCACCAUAUAAAAAACCAAAGCAAUAUAAAUGCAGAUGGCAACAUACCAAAGGUAAAUUAUACUCAAUUCUUCUUAAGAAAUUCAAUGGCAUAGGUGUUGAAAGCAGAGCACACGACUCGAAAGCCUUGGAAUCCAGAUCCCUUAGCCAAGGCCUCGAACUCCUUCUCCGUCCUCUCUUUUCCGCCGGGGUUGUGAGCUAACAUGAUCGCGUCGAUAUGGACAACUCCCUUGGUGGCAAGGCUACUGUCCGGAGCUACCGGAAGAAUGCACUCAGCAACAAUUACCUUCCCAUUGUCUGGGAGCGCAGCAUAGCAGUUCUUCAAAAAUUUCAAGCAAUGCUCGUCACUCCAGUCGUGGCAUAUCCACUGUAAGAUUGCAUAAAGGAUUUGAUAUUAGUUCCAAAUAUAUUGAGCAACUAAGCUCCUAUGAGAAAUUAAUAUUAGCACUACAAAUAAUCAUCGGUUCUUUUUUGAUAAAUAAUAACUCACCUUCAUGAAAAUUGCAUCUCCCUUUGGAACACUUACAAACAUGUCUCCUCCAACAUGCUCCACACCUAUAUUCAACAUCCAUUGACCUCAUAUUCAUUAGGAAAAAUGAUAAAUAGUACAAAUAUUAUUCUUAUAUGCAAUAAUAUUAGGGGAAGAGAAAUUGAACUUGAGAGAUCGAAUGUAAAGGUGAGUGCUUUUAAGUAAUUGAACUACGAACAUUAUUAGAAAUGAAGAACAUACCAGGAUAUUGGGGAGCAUCUUCGAUGACAUGAGGCAAGUCGAAGUUAAUGCCCUUAAUCGAAGGGUAUUUAGAGACGAUCAUGUGAAGGACAGCGCCGGUGCCACCACCAACAUCAACGAUGGAUGUGAGGCCCUCAAAGCCAUUGUAGUUCUCAAGAAGUUUCUUCAUGGUAAUGGUAGAGUGGUCAGCCAUUCCCUUGUUGAAGACCUUGUUGAAUCUGGGGUCAGUGCCAUGGUACUCAAAAGCAGUCAUUCCGUAGGCCUUGUUGAAUGGGAUACCUCCUUCAAGGACUGCAUCUUUCAAGUUGUACCUGCACAAACCCGAAACAAGCAUGCAUGACUCAUUUGUGUUUAAAGCUUAAUCUACAAGGAAAGGGCCGGACCCUUGAAAUUUGAUUCAACAACUACAAAUAAGAAGGCCCCUUUAAAAAUUAUAAUAACUUUAAUCGUUGAAUCAAAUAUCAAUAGUCUGAAUAAGUGGACUUGAUAGACUUGAUGGAAGGGAUCCGGAGAGAAUCAUUUUCCAAUCUACAAUACCAAAGUACAAGCAAUCUUGUAAACUAGGCCAACCGACAUUCCACGUGUUUCAAGGCCCGCAUAACUCACAAUAAUCAGAUAAUUUAUGGGUUUGUUAAAACAACUCUCCCUUCUUUUAUUGAAUUCGGAUCCUCUUUGUAGGAAUAUUAAGAAUCUUAAAGAUUCGUAAAUCGUAUCAAUUCAUUGUACAUCGUACGAUCAUAAAACUAUUUGCAUUUUUUUAUUUAAAAUUAAACACAAACAACACUUGAUGAAAUCUGACCGUACGAUCACAGAUCUUCAGGAUUCUCACAAAGAAGAUUCAGAGAGAAUUUGUUGGUCUUUUAUUGACAUGGAUUGCGUCAAUCAGUUAGUAAAAUAGUAUCCUUUUAUAUUUGAGUACAAAUUAUCAUUUUUAUAGUUUUGAUAAAAAUGAGGGAGGAAGUUAAUUUAAAUUUCACCUCUAGCUAAUUGACGGAACUUACACUCCAUAUAGAAGAAUAAAAUAGUUAAAACAUACAGUUGUCCUAAGGAAAAAGAUUGAUAAGAAAUAAACGUGUAACAUCGAAACACUUUGGUGUGGUUGUUGAAGUGGUUUUACCAACUUUCCACUCCUAAUUUGAUUUAAGUGGAAAUCAUAAAACAGGUGACCAGUCAUCAUAUAGCGUAAUGCUAGAAAAAUAAAAUUUAAAAAUAAAAUUUACAAAUUAAUUGAUAUGAAAAUUAAUUGUUGAAUUAUUACUUAAAAGAUGAGACAUUAAUAAACAUGAUUUUUUUUUAUUAAUGACAUAUAAUUUAGUUUAAAAUUUUUAUUUAAAAUUUGGUUUCUUUAAAAGUCUGACAAGAAGUCAAUUUGGAGUCUUGUCCGUCCCCAACCGCCUAAUGGGCCAAAAGUAAUAUGAACAACGAAGAAAACAUUAGGAAAAAUAAAUUUUAACGAAAAAGUUUUGAUAUUUUUUAUUUUAAUAAAAAAAUUAUAAUUUUACAUUAAAAAAUCAUUUAUAAUACUAUUCAUUUUAUUUUUUAUUUUAUCUUAAAAUUUUCAAACCAAUUUUUAUUAGUUUUUCUUAGGAAAAAAUAGAGAACAAUCACAUAUUAAAGCCAUAACUCACAGUUCGUACGUAACAUUUUAUGAAUAUUGUAUUAUUAUCAACCUAUUUGAACCCCAUUAAUUAAUGUUUGUUAACGAUCAAAUUAAGAUGAUAAAUAAAGAAGAAGAAUGGUAAUUACCAGCUCUCCAUAAGGACCUUGUCCUGAUUCAUGAGGCAGAGAGAACCAAUGGAAGCACCAUCCUCGCUCUUUGUCAAGAACUUGCAGACGGGGCCGAGGCCGUACAGCCGCUCGACUUUGCCGUCGGGAAGUGUGCGGAGGGAGUAAGUGAGGAUAGAGUAGCUGGCCAGGACGCGCAGCAUGCGGUCCAGCAUGACGGAGGCGUCAGGGUUCUUGGUCGGCAGCUGCGAAGAUAAGUCAGCCGGAGAAACAAAAGCGCCAGGCCCGGCUUUUGCCAUGAUCUCGAGGAGGUCGAGCUCGAUGGCUGCCUUGAGCACCAUGGGGAGGACGGAGGCGCUGGCUAGCUGCAUGGCGAAGAGGUUGGCUUCUUCAUCGGAGACUUGGGUUGGAGUCAUCUGAGUCUCUGGGGUCGAACCCAUUUUUUGGAUUUGGUGUUGUUGAUGGUGUUGGUGUUGGUGGGGAGAGAGAGAGAGAGAGAGAGAGAGAGAGAGAGAGAGAGAGGAGGAGGAGGAGGAGGAUGAGGAGGACUGAGGGUGGAAGAGAUGGUGUGUGCUAAGUGGUAAUAUAUAUGUAUUUCCUUGCUCACCCACCGCCAUUGCUGUAAAAGCAAGGUGUCCACCACCCAUGCAGGACCCCACAUGCGUCCCACACGUCUUUACCUUUUAGAAAGCUAAUUAAAAUAAUUUCAAUUCUUUAUCUGCUUUUGUUUUAUUUCUUUUUUAGGAGGGUGUGUAGUCGGAAUUCACACUCAAUAUGAAGGAUUUGUACAAGCUUUGUUAGAUUAGUUGUUUAAUUAAGAGUAUAUAUUUAAUUUGUGUUUGAUUUUUCUCCCCUUAAUUUUGUUGUUUAAAAAGAAAUAUGAAUAAUUUACAAAUCCAAACUUUCCUAUUAAAAAGUGCAAUUUUUCUUCGAAUGUUAUACUCAAGGUCAAUGGGUUUUGAUUAAAGGGAAAGCCUGUCACAUCAUUCCACUAUAUAGUAUACAUCACCAGUUCGAGCAUAAGCAUGCCAAAAUAAAGAUGACAAAAAAGGUAAACCCUUCAAUCCAACGGGGAAAAAACUAAGCAAGUUUUUCUACAGAAAUACAGCAUGACAUGACAAGGGAUAAUUGGAGAAAAGAAUAGUGAAUUGUCCCUCCGAAGUCCUUCUAGCUGGUGAUAGAGCAUAAAUUUACAAUAAGGUCGUUAUUAUUUAUUUAUUUAUUUUUAAUAGUGUGUGAAAUGAUUUUAAUCUUCAAUUUUCUCUUUAGUUGAUUCGGCAAAUUUUAUAAGAUGAUAAUAAGGACAAUAAUGUUUUAUAGCAUUGAAUGUUGAGCGAUCAAGCAUUAAUAUAUUUCAUAUGAGUCUCCUCAUAGUAUUCUUGAUCAAGCAUCAUAUUUUCUUCAAGCUCGAAAGGUAACAUAUACUGAUUGAGAGACUUUUAGCCUAAAUGAUCCAUAAGAUUGGUAUAACUCCUCACUCUAGUUCCUGACAUUGAAAAUUGAUAUAAUUGGUCUUUGAGUUUGUCCCCUGUAAAUCAUUUUUUGUCAUUCUGUGAAAAAAUAUGUCAAUAUCAUCGUUAAAUGGAGGGGUUAGUUUGACAAAUAUCAUCAUUAAAAAGAUUGUUGUGUGGUCGUCCACAUGACAAUUUAACGAGGAUAGUGGCAAAUUUUUCACGGAAUAAAAUAAUUUACAAUGAACAAACUCAAAAACCAUUUCUAUUGAUUUUCAUUAUUAAGGAUCAAAUUGAGGAUUAUGCUAAUUGCCUAAAAGCCAUGAUUUAGAUGGUAUCAUUGUCAUGGUUUGUGUCAUCGUGACUCAUCCAUGAUGUAUGAAAGGGAUAGGUAUUUCUAUUGGAAAUUUACAAAUAAGAACAAAAAUAAAAAACAAGAGUGUGACAAUUUAAUAAGGAGUUGGCCCGGUAUCUUAUAAUAUGCUAUUACCUAAGCUGCGGUGCAAGAUCAAAUCAGUUGGUGAGUGGAACCUAUCAAUAUUCAUUUCCAAACGUUAUAAUACUUGACCUAAUUUAUAUAAAUAUGGUGGUGUUACUUAGAAGACAACAAUUAUGCCUUCUCCAUACUGAUUCAGGUAUUGUAUUAGGGGUGUGCUAUCCACACACCCCAAAUUACUUCCCACACACCUCUUGUUAAUUUCUGUCCGUUGAUCUUCUUCAAUUCAUCUGAUCCGACUGCUGAAAAUUAAAAGGGUGUGUGAGAAGUAAAAUGGGGUGUGUGGAUAUCACACCCCUUGUAUUAUUGAUUUCUCCAACUCCACUUAAGCUGAAAGGUGUAAAACGUUUAGUUCUCAUGCUUCAUUGGGACAUCAUUCGCACAUGAAUUGUGUGAGUAAGUUGAUUAUCGUCAUUCUUGUUUUGUGAGUUUUACAUGCAUGAACAGUCUGAAUUAGUUUAAAUCUAUAUUAUACGACGUUAAAUUAAAUAAUCUAUGAAAAUUCAGAAAAAGAAAACAGUUUAAACAUAGACAUCGAAUCUUACUUCAUAUUAAUGUUAAUAGUUGCUCAAAUUAAUUAAUUAACAAACUCCUGUGUUGAAAAUUGAAACAAAUGAAAACUCCAUUUGGUAUUAAUUAGGUUUACAAAUGGUAUUAUAUAAUUGGUCGCGGUUGGACAAAUCAAAGGGGAUCACAUCUCACCUAAUCUUUGAACAUGUAGAUGUCGGAUCAGACGCAGCUAUUGGUGAAAAAAUCAAAGUGCUACUUCCACAUCUUAAUUGGACCCCAUCUUUUUCUGGAACAAACUUAACAUUUCCAGAGACCCAGACCCUGAGAUGUAAAAAGAAAAAGUUCGACAAAAUUCAGAACCAGAAGAGGUCCAAACUCCUAAGGUGUCACCUCUUUAACAAAACAUCCUCACCAACCCUGCCAACAAAAUCCUCAUUUCAGGAUUUGUAAAUCAUGUAUAUUUAUCGUAUAUCGUACAAUCAAUUUUUGUUAAAUACUGUUUGUGUUCAAUUUUAAAUAAAAAAACUUAAAACAAUUAAUGAUCUCACGAUAUACGAUAAACGAAUAUAAUUUAUAGAUCUCCAAAAUUCUCACAAAAAGAAUCUGAAAAGAAUCCAAAUUCCCAACCCUGCAAAAGCAUUAAGAAUUAUAUAAAAAAAGAUUAUUAGCUUAACGUGUUUGAUUAUAAUAUUUGGUCAACAAUCAAAUGGAAUAAAGGAGGAUACGUUAAGAUAUAAGGGUAUUAUAUAUAUUAAUUGUAAUGUUCCACCAAAUACAUUAUAAUUGGUAUAAGAUAUAUAAGUAGGAGUCAACACUAGAAAUCGAAAACCGAAGCCAAAAUACGAAUUAAGCUGGACCGCAUUGAACAGUUAAGUUUUUGCAAUUUUGAUACGAUUUUGAUUUGCAACCCAACCACAUCACAAAUGAAAAAUGACUGAUUCCUAACAAUCAUACGUUUGUACGUUUCCUUUCUUUGCUGCUACUUUAUCUAAUCUCUUUUGUGGUGAAUUAUUUCAAAGGGUCAAAUCUUUGAUGCAUAUAGCUCUACAAUUGAUGAAAGUUAAUUGUAGGUGGAGAGCAACAAAUGAUGGGAUAAAUUUGUUUAACUUUAAGCACAAAAUAUAUCUACAAAAGUAUAAAUCGGAAUCAUGGUGAUCCGACGUAUGGUUGCGAGCUUCAAGCUCCCAAAAGUUGAUAUAAUAAAACAUUUUCUCAUGACUUGAUUGAUUUGUUGUUAUCUCUUGCAUGGUUACUUUUAGCUUUUUAUUUUGUUAUUUGUUUAUACGUUUUUUGUAUUAUUAUGCUCUCAUGUUUCUUUAAAUCUUAAUUUAUAUAAGUGCAAGUGAAUGUAAUGUAAUUCUUCUCCCUAGUGCUUUGAAACCGAAACCAUUUGAAACCAAAUCGAGUUCAAAUGGUUUGGUUCCAUUUCUUACAAACUUCAAAACCAAACUGAAUCGCAAAAAAAAUUGAUUUUAGUUUCACCCAAAACCGCACCGAACCAAACUGUGCACACCCAUAUAUAUAAAUUUUGUUCUCUUGAAAUGAACAAUGGAGAUUGUGUCAAAGGGUUUAAAAUUUAAGUAGUUAAUAGCAUUUGUUCUUGCAUACGAUAUUAUGCGCUGGAAUCCUUCGUCCACUAUUAUUGUUUGUAAAUUGGUGGCCAAAGUGUUGGAAUUUAUGGUUAGCUACAUGCACAGAUUACAACCUAAUACCAAGGAUGAAAGAGCACACAAAUCUGAUGAAGCCAUUAAUGAAUGAUCGAGGAAGAGUCUUCUACUAAAUGGGGACCUUAUGUUCUCACUAGAAUAGGGCUAGUUACUAAAAGAACGUGUUCCUCUUGAGCAGGGACUAAACCAUUUUUUAGACGUAUAACCACAACCGUUUCCACCUAUCACAUAAACUGCUUGGCAAAACUGCCCGCCCAUUUACACUCGGGAAAUUUGGAAAAGUAACCAUAUUUUAAACCUCAUAUAGAAUUAUAGCCACCAUUUUAAUUUUAUGAUAAUUCUAACCAAAACUUAAUGUAAAAGUACUAAUAUACCCUUAAUGAAAAUUUGGAAAAGUAACCAUAUUUUAGACCACAUAUAGAAUUAUAGCCAUCAUUUAGUUUUAUGAUAAUUCUAACCAAAACUUGAUGUUGAGAUCUUGAAACAUAAAAGAGAUAGCCUCCUCAAUACUACCCAAUACCCCUAUUCUCGAACCCUCCAUUUCCUACACUCUUUUAUAUAUAUAUGGAUAUUCAAAUGUAAUCAGAGAAAGUGAGAUUUGAAGAUAACCUAGUAAACAUAAAAAUUAAUUAGGAAUUGAAUCUCCGAAGCAAAAUUUGAAUCUAAAAAUAGAGGAGCAAAAAGCCUUUUAAGCUAAAAUCUGUGUGAGGUUUUUCUGCUAAACUGGUGAUUGAAAAUAUAAAAGCCGAUAAUGUGAUAAAUCCCGAAUAAUAUAAAAGCCAAUAAUGUGAUAAAUCCCGAAUAAUAUAAAGCCCAAUAAUGUAAUAAAUCCCAAAGAAAAACAUUCACAUCAUGUGUUGGAAUGGAGUCUAAUUGGAUUCUUGCAAGUUUGGCGAUUGUGGCCUGUCCCACCACAGCGACUGCACUUCUUCACUAUCCUUUCCUCUCCCUGAGAUGGGAUUCUGUUUGUCUUGCGUCUUCCAGAUACAACUUGUCUGAUUGGAGGUAACACAACUCUAUUAUGCACCUCUUCUGGCACACUCCAUUCACUCUUGUUUCCAACCGGCCAAAUGGGCUCCGCAUACGCUAGCACAAUUGCAUUGGCUGUGUAGAAUUUGGAGCACAUAGUGUACACUAAUGUGUUGCGAAUUCGACAUGCAGCAGUUGCAUGGACACAUGGAAGCUGGUCGAGAUCAAACCUUCUACACGUGCAUGACUUGGCAUUUAGAUCAACUAUAUGAUAUAAGUCUGCCUCAUGUACUUGCAAUGCAUAAUGAUUAAUGGAAGAUACCUGCAUAGUUGACAAGUAACAACCAACAACAAGAGACCAAUUAAUCAUAAUUAUCAUAUUCUUUUAUCAACCUGUUUAUUUGUUUGAAACAUUUUAACUAUGUUUUUUGUUAACAAAAUAUGCACUAACCACAUAGAUUUGGCCGUCAUCCAACUCACUUGACCAUGAAAUAUUACAUGCUUCAAGGCCACAACUGAUUAAAUAAAAAGUUAAGAAGAGUGAAAAUAGCUUUUUGUUGGUUCCUUUUUUUUUUUUCCCUUCAUAUGUUCUUGGUAUGGAUUCUAUGUAAAUUUAGGUGUCCAGUGUGCAUUAGGAAUGUGAGAGUGCAUAAAAAUGUAAACAAAUCAUACAUACCGACAUACGCAAGCCUCUAUUUUGAUUCUUGUGCACUUUUUCCUCUGCCCACUUUGUCAAGGUCGAAUUCCAUGAACUUGCUGUGUUCCGACGUUCGUUGAACCACUCUUGUAGUAUACCUCUAAGGUGAUCCGCUAGAGCAAUGAUAGGCAACUUUCGAGCAUCCUUCAGUUUUGCAUUCAUGGAUUCGGCAAUGUUGGUUGUCAUCAUGUUGUAUCGUUUUCCACUGAAAUGUGCCCGAGCCCAUCUAUGAUACCCAAUUUCUUGAAGAUAUUUUCCUACUUUUCCAUCUUUGAUUGCCCAAAUAUCAGUCAUAACACUAUUAAACUCUGACACAAGGUAUGCUUUUGCCGCAGUGUAAUAUAACUUAAACAUCGUUUCAUCAUCACCAAAUUUAGUCCUCAUGUUGCCAGCUACAUGAUACAUACAAGCUCCAUGAUAUGCCUCUGGAAACACAGUUUGUACAGCUUUACCAAUACUUCCAUGUCGAUCAGAUACAAACACCAAGUCUGCUACCUCUCCAAUGGCACUUCUCAAUUUUGUAAGAAACCAUGUCCAUGAAGCGUCAUUUUCUGAGUCACCCACACCAAAUGCUAAAGGAUAUAUUUGAUUUUGUCCAUCAUGGCAUACAGCAACAAAUAAGGUGCCAAGAUAUUUACCCUUUAGAAAAGUCCCAUCAACUGCUACCACAGGCCUCAUAGAACCACGAAAUCCCCUUAUAGAGGCUCCCAUUGCCAUGAAAAAGUAUAAAAAGUGAUUAUUGUCAUCCGUUUCUAUAUGUGUUAUUGUCCCAGGGUUUUUACUUUCUAACAUGGCACAAUAGGCAGGAAGUGCGGCAAAAGAUUCCUCUGGCGACCCUCGGAUCAUGUCAAAUGCGUGCUCUCUUGCUCUCCAAGCUUUCUCGUAGCUCAUAUUAACCCCAACUUGUGCUCGCAUAUCCUCAAUGAAGUCUUUAGGUCUAUAUACACGUGAUGCCCCCUCAUACUUUGACUUUAUAAAUUGGCCAACAACAGAACUACUUGCUUGCCGAUGAUCACGCUGAACAACAUCUAAUGAACAAGAAUGAUUAGUUUCAAAUUUUCUUACUUCAAAAAAUUCUGACACUUGUAACUUGGUUGCACGAAGUCGCCACUUGCAAUUAUCAUCCACACAUCUAAUUUCCAAACGAUCCUUAGUUGAUCUUUCCACUUUAAAUUCAUAAUUCUUCCUCAUUGCAAUCAUAGCUAAUUGUUUUUGCAACUCUUUCUUACUCGAGUACAAUUGUCCGACCAUAAUAUCUCCAUCUAUAUUCAAAUCUGCAAUAUUAUCAUAGUCUUGUAUGCUCUUACGCUUGUUACGACGAGACGACGAUAGAUUGAAAUUGACAUCGUUCGACUGCACAUUAUCGAAAUGGGUACUGUCAUGAUAGUCAUCAGUAAACUCAAAACUCACAUCUAUUGAAGCCUCACUAAUCUGGGCAUUGUCUUGAAGAACUUGACUUGGUUGUUCAUCACUCAAAAUGUCAUCAUUCUCUUGAAUUCCCACUGUUGGUGAUGGGGAACUGCAUGCAAUUGGGUGUUCAUCUUCAGGUUCAUUUAGAGGAUAUGUUGUAACAUAUAACGGAAUCUUGUUCGGUUUUGCAGAAAGACUUUCACAUACCCAACUAGUCACAUCGUCGUUGUCUACAAUCUCCAUCAUAGUUUGUAUCCCUAAGUUGCUAAUGCAUUGAUAAUGUACUGAGAUUCUAAAUUCACUUGGACUAACAUGAAGACGUUUAUAUAUACCUUGUAUAAGAUCUAGAUGAGUAACUUCGGUUGACACUACCAUUGCUUUCGCUUGACCAUCUGUGUAUUGGCUAUCAACCCUCCUCCAUCCGUAAUGGACCACGGUAACAAAUUGAGUCAUUUUCUGAAGGAAAAAAAAUUAAUUAGCGCAUCUAACUAACCUGCAAAUAUAUUAAAAUUAGGAAAAAGUUAUAGAAAAAAUUAAUUAGCACAUAUAACUAACCUGGGUUUUGGGUUUAGGGUUUCAGUGGUGAAAAAUGGACACCUCCUUGCAGCAAACCCCUAAACCUUAAAAUUCAACGCCAAGCAUAAGGUCCUGAUUUUCCAAUGCUUUACCAAAGCUUUACCGAUGCUUCCAUGGACACCUCUCUUCUUGUGAUUUUCUUCCUGUUUUUCUUUCGCUGUUUCUUUUUUUUUUGUCAAAAUUCAACGCCAAGCAAACCCCAAAUUGUUCUCUCGCUGUUCUUUUUUUUUUUUGUCAAAAUCUCUUCCUGUUUUUCAUUCUUAGUUGACUGAUGUUGAUUAGGUUUUGUUUUUGUUGUGAGAAACCCUAAUAUUAAGGGUAUAUUAGUACUUUUACAUCAAGUUUUGGUUAGAAUUAUCAUAAAAUUAAAACGGUGGCUAUAAUUCUAUAUGAGGUCUAAAAUAUGGUUACUUUUCCAAAUUUCCCUUUACACUCCGACAUGGGAUAUCCUUUCACCAACAUGUUUAACCUUAUUGUCCUACUUUAAAGGAAAGAAGACUUAUUCAAAUAUUAACUCUAACGGAUUCCAGUUUCAACUAAACUCAAAACCCUAAUGAGAUAAGUUUAGAGUCCAAUAGGGUUCCAACACAAAGAUACUAACAAAACAAAAUUACAAGGAUGUCCAUGCCCUUAACAUGUUUAUCGGAAAUGGAUAUGCAAGGUUAUAGUAUUGUUCUCUUUCGUGAUUUGGAUUGUGUUUACUUACAUAAAGAAUCAGGAAUAGAAUUUUGUACCAGAACAAUUAGGUAUCGUUCAAUCACAACUGCUACUAAUUCUAAUAAGUAAUAAACGAUGAAACAAACAAACAAAUCCGCUCACUAAUCCCUAUCUUGUAAACACUUAAACAUUGUGUUAAACAAUUGAUUUUCAAUGAAAUAAUCAUACAAUUUGUAACUCUUGAAUCAUAUCGAUCUUUCGGGUUCCACUUCGGUCCUACACAGUGUUAAAUCCUAUGAGUCUCAAACAGUCUGAACAUACCAGAUCACAAUAAAAAUAAUAGACCAAACCAAUUUAGACCAUUCAAUACUCAUACAUUUAAUGCUCCGCAACAUAAAUUUUUUUUCUUCUUGUUUUCUUUCCUUUUCAAGGCCCGAUUAAUAGCAAGCAUAUGACUUCAUUCCAUAGUAUAUGGAAUCCAUACAACCAGUAUCAGGCCCAAAUAAUUUGGAAUUUGGGCCUCGACCAGUUUGAACAUAAUAAUUCACAAUUUUGGGCUGGCCCAAGCUAUCUAACUGCUACAAACAGGAGGUUCUCUAAAAGUUAUAAUUCUUGUAGCCGUUAUAUCAAAUUUAAACGGUCCAGAUCUUUUGAUCUUUAGACUCAGUUUAUUUGGGUCCGGAGGAGAUCCAGUUCUGUUUAAAGAAUCGGAUCCCCUCUGUACCCAAAUAAAUUGAGCCUCCUAAGCAAAUGAUUUAAGCAGUUGAAAUUUGAUCAAACGGCUACAAAAAGGAUGCACUUUAAGAGUUAUAAUAAGUGUAACAUUUGAAUUAAAUUUUAACGAUGCAGAUCUCUAGAAGGGAUCCGGUUCCCUCGUCUAUAACAAAGUGGCGACAUGUCAAGAGCCAAAAACGCGACUGUUCAUCCGAAAUUCGGAUUCCGAAUCAUCAGACGAAGAGAGAUUAAAAAAAAAAAAAAAACUAAUGAAAAAUGUAUAAUACCAUGAUUGAUUUUUAAUGUAAAAAUGUGAUUUUUUGUUAAAAUGAACGAUACCGUCUUUUUCUUUAAAGUUUUCGUUAAAGUUCCUAACAAAAAUUCAAAAUCCUGGGUAACCAAAAGCGAGCCAGAGAGAAAAUGGAGGGCGAAACCGGAAUCGACGUCAAAGUGAUUAAUCAGCCGUCGUCGACGCCAUCGCGCUUGAAGAAGAAGAAGAGAGUGACAGCCCAGAAAUCGCCCCAGAAGGCUCCGCCCUCUUCUUCCGCGGAGGACGACGACGGGAGUCCAAUCAGGCAAAUUCUCUGUGUCAAAAACAAGGUCGAUGUUAAACACUUCGAGGACGUCGAGGACUGCUUCAUUUUGGAUUUCGACCCCUCGGAGCCGGUGCAGUUGUCCAAGUUGUCAGUGUCGGUUAAUGGUGGUGGUGGUCACGAUGGUUCUCCCGAUAUCGCUGUUGUUGCUGAGAAAGGACAGGUUUUGAUCUUUACCCAUGACCCAUUUAUUUCUUUGUGUUAAUUUUCUUUCUUUUGUUUGGUUUCCGGGAAAAUGCAGGUAAAGAACUGAAUUUGAAAUCAUUAACUCCAUUUUGUUUCUUUGUUCUUGUGUUUGGUUGCUGGGAAUAUGCAGGUGAAGAAAUGGAUUUUAAAUUAGAACCCCAUUGUGGCAUUUUGCCUUUGAACCUUCAGAUGUUUAACCUCAAAAGAUUUGAAAUUUAUAAGAAGUUUCCAACUUUUUGGCUUAUCUGUUCAUAUUCCAAUUUUUGUGAAUUUAUGAGCUAAUUUUGUGAAUAUCUGAUGCCUUGUGUUGGUUUGAAUUGAUGCUGUGUAGGUUGCUUGUAGAGACUAUCCACAUUCAAGGCACCUCUGCCUGAAAUUUCCUUUCGGGACGACACCCCAUGAGAGCUACUGUGAUCUGGUAAUGGAGUUUUACAACUUCAAAUCUUUGCGUCUUGUGACUGUAUCCCUGAUUCCCUAGUUCUGUUGUUUAACUUGGCAUCUGAAAAGUGAAUUCACUGACUGUAUGCAGUGCUACUGCUACGUUUGUGAUUCUGCCGCUCCAUGUGGGUUAUGGAAACCAUCGCAUUGCCAUGCCGCUGCGCACAUUGGUGAUUGGAAGUCCAAAAGGAUGUUGAGGAAGCAGCAAGCCGCGGUGAAGAAGUGAACAAAACUCUCGUUGUUUAGCCGAAUUGCAGUUAAUGGGAUGCGAGAAAUACCAAAAAACUGAACCGUUGUUCCGCUAUUAGGCCGAUUUGCAGUUAUGGGAUGCGAGAAAUACCAGGAGAGUGAACUGUUGUUUUGCUCGUAAGCAGUCAAGUUCAAGUAAUUUUGUUCAUAGGGAAGGUACUUGAAAUGGCGUUUGUUCUGACUCGAAAAAUUGUAGUUACUGAUGAACUUAUGAUGUUGGUAGAGAUGGAAUCAAAUUUGAUCAGUUCAAUUCGAGUUGUUUUCUUGUUAUGGUUUGCAGGUAUAAGUGGGUUUUAUUGCUGGUAACCGGAAUUGCAUAUGCCUCAUGACAUGGAAGAGCAUCUAUCAAGUUGCAAAUGUCUUUUGUUGCUUAUUCGGAGAAUUAAAAUCUUCAUGAACGUGAUGGUUCAUCAAGCCGCUAGUAUCUCAAGAUCCUUUCAAUGAUCUAUGUUGUGUUGAAGGGAUAUCUGUAUGCUCCGAUUGAUUGCGGAAAGUCCUGUGAGACCUUAAUCGGAUGUGUAGUCAUAGGUAGACCUGGCAUUUUGGACCCGACCCGUUAAUAUUAGUAUUUGGGUGAAUGUUUAGCGGGUGAAUCCGUUAAUAACCCGUUAAAUAACUGGUCACUUUGGAUCAACCCGUUAGACCCGUUAGCACCUGUUAGUUGAGAAUGUUUUAGUAAUUUCAAUCAAGUCUUAACAACAAAAAUAAACUUUAUGAAAAAAAAAGAUUUAAUUGUUAACGGGUGAAACGGGUGACCUGUUAGCUUAACUGGUAUGGUUCGGAUGACCCGUUAGCGUAACGAGUUGGGUUCAGAUGAUCCGUUAACUUAACAAGUCGGAUUGAACCCGAUCUAAACCCAAUAAACCCGACCUAUUUACAGGUCUAGUCAUAGGUGGGAGGUGGCGACGCACAACAACCAAUCAUGUCCCGUUGCUUGAAAGAAAAAAAACUCAAAAAAAUGGGUGAUCGAAGGUUAGCGUCUGGUUAAGUUCUAGUAGGGGCUUUGCUUAACCGGACACAUCAGUUGGUAACCAAAAUUUGGCGUGAUAAGUUAGUGUAUUUAGAAUUAUCUCUCUCUUAACAUGAUUGCAACAUAUAAACAUGUAACUUUGGCCGGUCGUCGUUGUAAGCAUGCUAAAUUUCUUGCAUCCGAGUUUGAAUUUCCUUAAUACAGCACACGUGAUUUAGUCAUUGGGCUUAUGUGUGCCAAGAUAUGAAUGUGGGCGAAUUGUACCAAAUACGGCGGGCCCAAUUGUAACAAGAACCCUUUGCCCUCGCGAAUCAUCAUCAAUCAUAUAUCAUCCAUCUCCGUCUCGCUUUCUCUAUACCCACUGCUGCUCCUGCCGAACGGCCAAGACUGUUCCCCUUUAUCCGUUUCAGAAUUCCAGAGCUCCGCCGAGGAACACAAAAGAUGUCACCGGCUCCACUUGUUCAGCAGGACGCCGCCGCCGCCGACGAGGUCUCCUCCGUCGAGCAGCUUCUCAAGAGCUCUAAUCCGGUAAAGCUCUUCCCUUUUCCCUUUUUUGUGGGGAUUAUAUAAUUUGUUUUCAUUUUCCGUUUUUGUUUAUUUACUAAGUUUUGAAUGUUGGACUGGUGUUAUUGGCAGAACAAGGAGGAAGACGAAGUGGUGGUCGAGGACGUGAAGGACGACAAUGACGAGGACGAGGACGAUGAGGACGAUGACGAGGACGACGAUGAUAAGGAAGACGGCGCUCAAGGUUGCUCUUUUUUCCUUCUUGUCUUUUCAAUUUUACGGCAUAUUCGUCAUUUGGUUUCUGCUGUUUAUUUGUUCUCUGUGCUUCCUGAAUGUUCCCUGUUGCCUGGAGUUUUGGAUUUGUUACGAAUAUUAGGAGCACGCAGAGGAUGAAAAGUUCAGAUUUUUAUAAAGGCUAUGGAAAUAUUGAGAGUUUAAAAGUUUUCUUGGCUGAUUUUGAUGUUAGUUUUUGAGAUGUUUUCGACCCAAAACGUAGAUGCAUGAUUUUUUGUUCAUUUGUGCUAAUGUUUCUAGGAUUCAUAUAGCCCACUUAGGCCCCGUUUGGGAUUGAGGUGAUUUAAAAAAAAGCCACUGUGAAAAAAAGCUGAGGGUCAUUUUUGUGUUUGGUAAACUGAAAAAAAAGGGCUUAUUUUGGAAGCUGCUGUGAGAAUAAGCUGAAAAUCAAAGGAAAAGCUGAAGCUGCUAUUUGCUGCUUUGAAAAAAAGCCAGUUUUUUCAAAGCACAUGGAGCUACAGUGCUCCUUUAAUGAAAAGACACACUAUCAUCCUGCUUUUUUUUCCAAAAGCACUUUCACAAAAAAGUUUACCAAACACUCUACUGGCUUUAUUUCACGGCCGCUUAUUCUCACAGCACAGCCGCUUAUUCUCACAGCAGUUUUUUUUCAAAGCACAGCAAUACCAAACCAGCCCUUAGUGGGAUAAGGCUUGGUUGUUGCCGUUGUUGUUGUUUUUGACACGAAGUGUAGUUCAGUUUGUUCUGAACUAUAAAGAUUCAAACUGUUUUCGUUCGUUUAUGCUACGGUUUCUUUGUGAGCCUGAUUUUUUUUGUGUUUGAUUACAAUGAGUUUGUGUUAUUUAUGUUGUCCUUAAAGUGAUCUUGAUUAGACGAUGAUGAACAGGUGGAAGUGGGGCUUCGAAGCAGAGUAGAAGUGAGAAGAAGAGUCGAAAGGCUAUGUUGAAGCUUGGGAUGAAGCCUGUUACCGGCGUUAGCAGGGUUACCAUCAAAAGGACCAAAAACGUAAGUUGAUGUUUGGUUUCCAGUUGGUGCAAUUGGGAUAUUGUUGUAUGAUGCUCGAUAUUCAUUGUUUGUUUGCUAUUUCUUGGUGUUUCAGAUACUAUUUUUCAUCUCGAAACCUGAUGUGUUCAAGAGUCCAAACUCUGACACCUAUGUCCUAUUUGGCGAGGCCAAGAUCGAGGAUUUGAGCUCCCAGCUUCAGACACAGGCUGCUCAGCAGUUCAGGAUGCCAGACAUGAGUUCUGUGACGGGGAAACCAGAGAUUUCGGCAGCAGCUGCUGGAGCUCAGGAUGAAGAGGAGGAAGAGGUUGAUGAAACCGGGGUGGAGCCUAGGGACAUUGAUUUGGUCAUGACACAGGCUGGGGUAUCGAGAAGCAAGGCCGUCAAGGCGCUCAAGACUCACAGCGGGGACAUUGUCAGCGCUAUCAUGGAGCUCACCACAUAAUUGGCCAAUGUCAACAGUUUUUGUCAAGCUCAUUGUUUACUUGAUGAGUGUUUUGAAUCAGUGUCGUGUCGGUCAUUGGUUUUUGUAGCUCAAUCGGACGCCCGUCUAUGUGUAUCUGGAUUGUGCUUCUCUAUUCUUGUGGAGACUCAAAACAUUGGCAGUGAUGGCUUUCAGGUUUUCUGAUGAACUUCACUCCUGAGUCAUGAGUUUUUAAAGUUUCUAAUUCAUCUUUUAAUUAGAGACGAGAUUUGACUACCUAGUACUAAUGAUACCAACAGGAUCCUCUCCGGAUUCUUUUGGUGGGGAUCCUGGAGAUUCGUAAAUCGUAUUUGUUCAUCGUACAUCGUACAAUCAGUUUUUGUUAGGUAUUAUUUGUAUUUAAUUUUAAAUAAAAAUAUUUAAAAUGAUUUCUAACCGCACAAUGUACGAUGAACGAAUAUGAUUCACGGAUUUUCAGGAUCCUCAUAAAAAGGAUCCGGAUUCCUAGUAAUAUUCUUAUUUGUUUGUAAGUGGGAGGAGGUAUUAGGUUUGACGACAAGCUUAAAACUUGUUGAUCAAAUCUCAUAUCUUAUUAAACAGUGUCUGUAGGAUAACAUGGUUUAUGUUGUCAUAUAGUAUUACUCUUAGGUGAUAUUCAUUUUUACUUGUAAAUGAAGAGUUUUAAGUUUGUUUGUCGUAAUAAACUUUUACCAAAAACAAGAAUCAAUAAACAAAAAACAAGUAAACACAACAUGGUGGUCCAAUGGUUUGGACGAAUUCCAGGACCAUAUAUCAAAUGGCAUGUUCUAAGUUCAAUCUUUGUUGUUGAUGAAUCAUAUGAUGGUGUUCAUGAGAGGAUAAAAUUCUCUGUGAGUCUUUCCAACCACCGACAAUAUAAACUGUUGUGAUGAAGCCACUAGCUGAUCCUAUUUUACGAGAAGAAUAAACCAAAACGAGUGGUGAACUGCAGAAUAAAAAAUGAGUGCAUUUUCCAUCGGAAAAAUAUUGCAAGAGAUUUAAUGAUUGGGCUUGGUGGUGCCGCCAAAAACUAGCGGGCCCACUCAGAAACCGAAACCCUUUGCCCUCGCGAGUCAUCGUCUCUCUAUACGCCGCUGCGUCUGCGUUACGAAUUUGCUAAGACAUCAUAUUUUUAUCCGUUUCAGAGCUUCUAGUCUCCGCCGACAAACCCGAAACAUGUCACCGGCUCCACUGGUUGAGCCCGAAGCCGUCGCCGCCGAAGAGGUUGUCUCCGGCGACCAGCUUCUCAAGAACUCUAAUCAGGUAAAGCUCCUCCCUUUGUUUAAAGUACCCAUUUUUUGUUUGGUCUAUAUAUGUUUCGAUUUCCGAGCUGCUACUGUUGUCAGACCAAGGAAGAAGAGGAAGUCGUGGUCGAGGACGUCAAGGACGACGACAAGGACGAGGACGAGGACGAUGAGGACGACGAUGAUGACGACGAUGAUGACAAGGAAGACGGCGGUCAAGGUUUGUCCUUUUUUUUUUUUGCUGUUCUUAUCCUUUCGAUUGCUUGGAGUUUUGGAUUUUCCAUGGAUGUCUUUGCGUUUUUUAAGGGCAUGUUUGAUUGGUAGGAGCAUAUAGAGGGUGAAAAUAUUAGACUUUUGCAAAAGCUAUGGAAAUAAUGAGAGCAUAACAGGUAGCUCGAGUGAUUUUGAUGUUAAUUUUGAAGUGUUUUCGGUAGAACCCAAAAGCCGAAUCGUAGUUCUGUUUGUUGUAAACUAUAAAGAUUCAAACUUUUUCAUUCAUUUAUACAGUAUUUUUUGCUGCUCAAUCCCAAUGAGUAUGUAUUAUAACAGGUGGAAAUGAGUCAUCGAAACAGAGCAGAAGCGAGAAGAAGAGUCGGAAGGCAAUGCUGAAGCUGGGUAUGAAGCCUGUUACUGGUGUUAGCAGGGUUACAAUCAAGAAGACCAAAAACGUAAGUUGCUGUCUGAUUUCCGGUUUGUGAAGUUGAGAUAUGGUUAUGGGACGGUCGAUGUUGAUUGGUUGUUCUUUUUUUGUGUGUUUCAGAUGCUGUUUGUUAUAUCGAAACCCGAUGCCUUCAAGAGUCCAAACUCCGAUACCUAUGUGAUAUUUGGCGAGGCCAAGAUUGAGGAUUUGAGCUCUCAGCUGCAGACACAAGCUGCCCAGCAGUUCAGGAUGCCGGACAUGAGUUCUGUGAUGGGGAAACCAGAGAUUUCUGGAGCAGCUGCCGGACCUCAGGCAGAUGAAGAAGAGGAAGAGGUUGAUGAAACCGGGGUGGAACCUAAGGACAUUGAUUUGGUCAUGACACAGGCCGGGGUGUCAAGGAGCAAAGCUGUCAAGGCUCUCAAGACUCACAGCGGGGACAUUGUCAGCGCCAUCAUGGAGCUCACCACUUAAUUUGUUAUCCUCGUGCUCGUUGUCAGUUGAUGAUGAGUUUUUUUGAGUCUGUCGGUCGUUAGCUAUUGUUGUCCAAACGGACGCUCGUCUAUGUGUGGAUUUAUGGUGCUUUUCUUUUCUUUUGUGGACUCAAAGACAUUGGUAGUGAGGUCUGCUGGUUUGCUGAUGCGCCUUCGCUCCUAUGUCAUGAGUUUUUAAGGUUUCUAUUUCGUCUUUUAAUUCUUCCACAUUAGAGUUGUCUCCUGCAAUUUGCUCGAUCUCGCUUUGCUUUGUCAAUGACAUAGAUCGAACCCUGGGGUUGUUUGGCAGUGAGUCUUAGUGCUCGUUUAGAUGUGCUUUUUAAAUGAUUGAAAACGUUUCUGAUGAAAAUGUUUUUAGAACAAAUCAUUUGUAAAAAUACAAGUAAAUUCUGAAAAUGCACUUAAAUGCUUCUUACAGAAAGCACUUUAAGUGCUUUUGAAAUCAAAAAUCACCAUCUCUAAAAGCGUUAUCAGUCAUUUUAAAAGCACUAUUUUGUGGAGGACGUGGAAUCGAUGCCCUAAAAGGAGCGACAUGUGCAAGAUUAAUUCACCCUAACAACAUGUGCGAAUGAACGUGUAAUGAAAUGCAUGCAUGCAUCCAUGCACCUGCCCACACACUGUCGAAGACUUGAUCGUAAUUACAUAAUUGUAGAACACAUACGUUCCGAAAUAUUCAAAUUAAGUUCACAAACUUUGUACAAAAAUAUCGCAUCCAGAGUCAUUUAGUUUGGAAAUAAGCAAAAGAGGAAAGAGGAAUCAUCCACCACCCAGGAAGGGAUGUUUUCUUUCCAGCAUCAGGUUCCUCACUUCUGCCCCCAAACCUCCUCCUUCAUGACAUGUUCCCAAUCCGAGGAAGAGCUAUCGUACCAACCUGCCGGAAGCAGAUUCCCAGGCCUGUUGAUCUUCUGAUUAUCUGUCGGUGGACCGCCCAAGAACAGAUGGAAUUCCUUAGCAGCCACCAUAUUAUCUUCACUACUGCCAGCUUCAUGACUCUGCAAAAUAGGUUGCUCCUUCAGUUCUGAACCUUCACCCUCCGAUGUCUUGCUAAUAAACGGCCAGGGGUUUCUCAUACCAGCAUACCCAAGCCCACCAGUUUCCGGCAGUUGCUGCCCUUCUGAAUGCAUGUAAGAGUUGUCAAUCCGGGAUUUAAGGAUCUGAAGCCUCGACAUAACAGAAUCCUCACAGUCGUUUCCCUCGUCGGUUGUGCUAGAAUGAGUAGAAUCCUGGAUGUUGAACUCGGGCAUUAAGCUAUAACUCGUGCUAGGUGCAACUGCAGAUAUCUUGGGGUCUGGAAGAUGUUGCCCUUCAGUAUGCAAGUCAGCGUAGUUUUCAAUCCGGGAUUUGAGGAUAUGAAGUCUGGACAGAACAGAAGCCUCGCAAUCGUUUGAUUGGCUGGUAGUGAUUGACAUGGAAGAAUCCUGGAAGUUGAACUCAGGUCCCAAGAAAUCACUUGCGUUGGGUGCAAUUACGUCAAUCUUGGGUUCAAGACACACAUCGGAGCUGGAUGAUUCCUCCAUAUUGGCAGAACUAAUGAAUUUCGAUUUCUCAACCCGGUCUCUUAUGAUAUGAAAUCUGGCCAUAACAGAAGCCUCGUCAUAAUCAUCUGUUAUCCCAACUGUAUCUGAUGCAGGAGAAUCCUGAAUGGAAAUACCAUGUGAUGAUGAGCUACCAUUUACUUCAGAUGGAAUAUUAUCACCCUUGUUUGGUUCAGAAACCUUGGAGCUGGAUUCGCCCCCAUUGGCAGCACCAAUCAAAUUUGAGUUCUCAAUACGGUCCCUUAAGAUACGAAAUCUGGCCAAUACAUCAUCUUCCUGGCUUAAUACAGGUAAAUCCUGGAGACUUGAAAUUGGACAAUCAUGAGCAUCAGGCGUCAAUGGGUUAACUGGGUUUGAAUCAGGGGAAACCUCAGACAUUGAUUGCUUCAUCAUAUCUGCAUUAUAUUCAAAGCCGUCAGAAACACAAUCAUAAAAUAAAGAUAAGAUCAAAGUUUCUUGUUUAUAGGUUAUAAAACUAUGGCAGUAAUGUAAGAGCAUUAACCUUUGGAUUUCUCUGCCUUGCACUUAUCCAUUUCUAUCUUUGUACGAUUAAAACGAGCUUUGUAAUUAAUGGAACAUAAUACAGCUUCAGCCUCGAGCCAUAGGUCCUUGUACAAGAGGGCUUGAGGGUCUGUUUCUUCAGCAUGAAAAUUCUCACUAAGAAUCUUCUUUAUAGCCUACAAAACCAAGGUCCAUGGCAAUAACUAACUAAUUUUUUGUACUUCCUCAUCCCUCAACGGCAAGAAAUAUAACUUGACAUUUUACUUUAUCAAGCUAGGUAUAGGGGUACCUGAGUCAUUUUAUCUUCUUUCGCCAUGUUUUUGUCACUUUUCACAGAAACAGAACCUACAACUUUAUCCUGAAUUUUAGAGGCAGAUGCCAAUGGAGCCCUGUCUGCAUUCACAACCUGAAGAAAUUAUUCAGCCAAGCAAAACAUUAUUAUAGAGUAUGAGGUGGUAAACUCUCCGCUAUUCAUUUGAAAAUGAAGUCCAAAAUAAGAUUCCAAAAACUUAAGCAGCAUACCUUGUUAUGCUCUGUAAACUCUCCGUUACACUGAGAAGUGUUUUGCAGGAACAAUGGCAUUUCCUGUGUCGGUGACAAUUUCUCACCAUCCUUUGAUAUGCAGAUAUGCAGGUUAUUGAUCACAGCUUUUAUGGUCUCAAUAUCAUUUUUCUUCAAUUGAACCAAGCCAUAUGAACAAUUACUAAGCAGCAAUUCUGACAAGUUAUUCAUUGUAUCAACCAGCAUCUGUGCACCCACUUUUGGCAUAGAAUCUUCCCCAUCAGAUUUGGAAAGCUUAGUAGGUGCAUCCUCCACAGACGAACACAAUAUAUUUUCUACAGCAUGAGAAGGCACAUGCACCGAACCAUAUUCCAUAGUGUCACUGACAUUCAGUUUAAAAUCUGGACCACAAGUCAAUGUUGUUUUCUUUAUUUCCGUUGCUAAUCCGUCUUCUCCACCACAACCUUGUUCCAUUGUAUGAGAAUGGCCAAAGAGACCAAAGGAAUUUUCCCCACUCCCUGAUUUAUGGAGGACAUUUCUGUAACUUUGAGGUCCUCUACCAUGGCUUGUUUCUGAGUUAUAAGUGGUCUUCGCGGUAUCAUCUAACUUAUGUUCUCCAAAAGCUGAGUUUUCAACUGAAUAUCUCUUCAAAGGAAGGGUCACACCCUUUUCCAGCCACCCAAGAUCAUGGUAUUCAACGGUGUUCUUGAUAGGCUUUUGGGAGGAAACAUCUUCCGCAGCCUUUAGUGGAAACAUCAGUGGCAUUGGAAAAUGCAAACCAUUGUAGUCCUCUAGUUUCUUUAACUGUUCUGGAACCCCUUCUUCAGAGGAUUCAAAUGGAGAAAACCGACUACCAGGAACUCCUUUCCAGCAAGGCGAGUCCACAGCUGGAUUAUUAGGAUCUACAUUGUCAGAUGAACUCGGAAAACAAUUGACGGUUUCAUUUGUAUUAACUGACACAUUAAAACCACCAGGACUAACAUGAGGAUUUUCAAGUCCAGACUUCGCUUUAAACACAUGAUCCCAUGGACUCUUGUUGAGACUUCUAUUAUUUAACAGCUCUUCAUUUCUUUUUGCAAAGAAGCUAUCAUUUAUUCCAAGAAGACUGUCAAAUUGGCUUGAACUGAAACGACAGUUGCCUUCAGAAACUUGUAGCAGACGAGACUCUUGUACACUAGAGGGAUAAUAAUCAUCACGAUCUGUCUCAGCAGCAUCACUUCUGAAAUUCAACCUUUUGAACAGACCUAUCUCUGGUUCUGAAGAUUUAGUGCCAAUAGCUGGUAUUCUAGUGGCAAAGGCAGAAGAAGACUUUGAAGUGGACGAAAUAUCAUCCAUACUAGCAUCAUGCUGUUGUUGCUCAGAGAACACACUGUACGGUGUUUUACAGUUUGUGGUGUUCGUGAUAAAUUGUGAGGAUGAUGCCUUAGGAUGGGUUUCUGGAACUGCUGAAAAGGAUCCCGUGACAGAUUUUGAAAAGUCAGCAGGGAUGAAUUUGGAAUUUUUCGCCACAAAGGAUUUAUCACCUAAGUGCUCUGCACUUACAGAUCCACCAAGCUUUUCCCAACCCUGAAUAUUGAUGCCAUGUGAUGCUUCUUCACAUGAGGGGUCUGCACAUUAUACAGAUAGUUAGGGGAAAAUAGAGUAGGGUUGCAUAACAAACAGGAAGUGAACCAAAAAAAUGAAAACAAAAGUAGUUGCACUGGAAAAAUUCCAUAGGCGCAUAACUUGGGGAAGACAUACCUUGGUUCAUGUAAUUCUUGUAAAGUGAUGAGCCGGAAACAUCAGUCUUCUUUGAGCAGAAAUUUCCAUUAAAGUCUCCCUGUUUACCCUGCUCCCGCUCCCACUCCCACAAGCCACCCCACUGGGUAGUAUACUUUGGAUCAGAAGGGUUUUGAGUGUAAUCCUUGUGAGAGGAGCUAUCCAAGGGAGCAAAAUGAGUACUAGACAGCCAAUCAUAACUAGGCUGACGAGGAACCACCAUGGGGGAACACUCGGAACUGUUGAGGUUAGAUAAGAGGGAUAAUAAGGUUUGGCCUCAACAAAACUAGUUGCAGCAGCAUCGAAGGAUUGAUCGUACUUAAACGUACUGGGUGAAGUGGUGGUAAUAGUGUUCAAAGGAGGCAAGUUUGUAUUGGAUGGUUCAACAGUCUGCAGGCCUGCAUAUCCAUACGCAUUCGAUGGAGGAAUUGAAUUGAGAUCUGGGGUGGGAUUGGCAAAGAAAUUAGAAGGGGUAGUGGUCGGGUGAGAAGGAAGCCAAUUGUGCAAAGAAGAAUUCAUGGGGGCAACAUAAGGUGGCUCAGUCACAUCAAGUGAGCUUGACAUGGGUUUUGGCACAGGCCGAUCGACAGUAAAAGGUGGCGCUAAAGCCGAUAAACUUGAAGGCGAUGAUGAUGAAUAUGGAUAAGAUCCUCCAAUUCCAUAAGGAACAAAUCCCGCCAUUCUUAGACUUUGGUUCUACACACAAAUUAAAGUAAAUUGAUCAAGACCCGCUAAAAUUAACAUCAACUAAGAAAUACUGAAAUAAAAAGGUCAACCAGAGCUAAAAUUUCCUAAAACAUGAACACUCACGACAAAAAUCAAAACUUUAUGAAGAACCCAUUUGUCAAACACCAUAAAGAUUAUCAAAUAACAACGAAAUUAUUAUGAUCUUUGAGAAUCGUGCGAAAAAAAUGAAAGAAUUGGUGAUGCUGCUUACAAUAUGAUGACGAUCAGAGCAUCCGUUUUCAGCAAUCGCCCAAUUAACUGGGUAAAACAAGGAGGAAAUAAAAGCACAAAAGCUGUAAAAUUUACAAAACAGUAGUAUUCCCUUGAAUAUGUAUAUAUAUAGUUCUCUUGCUUAACUAUAUCCUACAGCUACAUCAAUAAGAAAACCCAGAUUACAGAAUAUGGCAAGAACAGCAAAAUCAUAAACCAAUCUGGAAAUUAUUCAAGAAAUCUGAGAUUUUGAAUCAAUUGGGGAGAAAUUCAUACCAGAGGAGUGACGAGUGAGGGAGGAGAGAGAGACAGAGAGAGAGGCAGAGAUUGGUGGCA